Molecule: ribosomal RNA, 444 nt
Filed under: uncultured Comamonas sp.
Lineage: Bacteria; Pseudomonadati; Pseudomonadota; Betaproteobacteria; Burkholderiales; Comamonadaceae
Description: bacterial SSU rRNA
Rfam family: Bacterial small subunit ribosomal RNA
Source: RNAcentral
AUGAUGUGGUUUAAUUCGAUGCAACGACGAAAACCUUAACCCACCUUUGACAUGUACGGAAUCCUUAGUAGAUAGAGGAGUGCUCGAAAGAGAGCCGUAACACAGGUGCUGCAUGGCUGUCGUCAGCUCGUGUCGUGAGAUGUUGGGUUAAGUCCCGCAACGAGCGCAACCCUUGUCAUUAGUUGCUACGAAAGGGCACUCUAAUGAGACUGCCGGUGACAAACCCGGAGGAAGGUGGGGAUGACGUCAAGUCCUCAUGGCCCUUAUAGGUGGGGCUACACACGUCAUACAAUGGCUGGUACAAAGGGUUGCCAACCCGCGAGGGGGAGCCAAUCCCAUAAAGCCAGUCGUAGUCCGGAUCGCAGUCUGCAACUCGACUGCGUGAAGUCGGAAUCGCUAGUAAUCGUGGAUCAGCAUGUCACGGUGAAUACGUUCCCGGGUCUU